CCGGCUCCGGUUCACCCCUCGGGGACCCGGCGGCC
RNAcentral lists this non-coding RNA (35 nucleotides) under unclassified sequences. Its description in RNAcentral is "L31-Actinobacteria ribosomal protein leader". It matches the Rfam family "L31-Actinobacteria ribosomal protein leader". The record is from RNAcentral.